CUGGUCAACCUUAGUCCGAUAACGGUAUGUAUGAAAAACGGACGAAAAAUUUUGGAACUUUGAUGCCGGUUUUGAGCAAGUUUUUAAUUAAAAUUCAGUAUGAGCGCAGCUUUGCCCCACUGAAAUAUUUCAACAUAAGAUGCUUUAUGUUGAUAUUAUUGCUCUGAUUAAAUAUUUCGUUGGGGCAAGAAUGCGCUGGUACUUUUUUCGUAAAAAAAGUUAGUGAAAAUGAGUAAAAAAUUGUGAAAAGCCAACAAAUAUGCACGUGAAGUGUUGUCAAAACACGGCAUUAUGACGUCAUAACUACAAAAAAACAUUUUUUUUCAUAAAAUGAAUAUGUGUAACGGAAAAAGAAAGCCAUACACAUACGAAUAAGUAGAAUUUGAAAAAUUCUCGAAAUUGAGGCCAAUUUUGCCCCUUAUAGCCCC
This 428-nucleotide long non-coding RNA is filed under the name Mytilus galloprovincialis (Mediterranean mussel). The record is from RNAcentral. Lineage: Eukaryota; Metazoa; Mollusca; Bivalvia; Mytilida; Mytilidae.